RNAcentral lists this ribosomal RNA (497 nucleotides) under uncultured bacterium. RNAcentral's name for it is "partial 16S ribosomal RNA". It matches the Rfam family "Bacterial small subunit ribosomal RNA", at positions 29 to 507 of the family's 1533-position model. The record is from RNAcentral.
AAUGAACGCUGGCGGCGUGCCUAACACAUGCAAGUCGAGCGAACAGACGAGGAGUUUUCUCCUCUGACGUUAGCGGCGGACGGGUGAUUCACACGUGGAUAACCUACCUAUAGGAAUGGGGUACCUACACGAAACCGGAGCUAAUAUCGGAUAAUAUAUUGAACCGGAUGGUUCAAUAGUGAAAGUGGGUUUUGCUGUGACUUAUAGAUGGAUCCGCGCCGCAUUAGCUAGUUGGUAAGGUAACGGCUUACCAAGGCGACGAUGGGUAGCCGACCUGAGAGGGUGAACAGCCACACUGGAACUGAGACACGGUCCAGACUCCUACGGGAGGCAGCAGUAGGGAAUCUUCCGCAAUGGGCGAAAGCCUGACGGAGCAACGCCGCGUGAGUGAUGAAGGUCUUCGGAUCGUAAAACUCUGUAAGUAGGGAAGAAGAAAAGUGUAUUUAACUAUGCACGUCUUGACGGUACCAAAACAAAAAGCCCCGGCUAACUUCGUG